Molecule: long non-coding RNA, 668 nt
Filed under: Homo sapiens (human)
Lineage: Eukaryota; Metazoa; Chordata; Mammalia; Primates; Hominidae
Description: HSALNT0145166
Source: RNAcentral
CUCUUUUCUAGUUGCCAAGGGUCUUUCAACUCCAGGGAGAGUUCAGGUUAGUACAGAAACUUCAUAAAGAAUCAAACCUGAAAUAGUAUUAUUUUUGUCAAGAAAUUACAUAUGUUUUAUAUUUUACAGCAUUUUAACACUGAAAAGAAUUUGGCCAAUUGGAAGCCAUGGAGCACCCCACAUGAUGCCAACGGCGAGUGUCCAGCGAUCUCCCGCUCUUCGGCGAGUGUCCAGCGAUCUCCUGCUCUUUGGCCCUCUGUCUCCAUCUCUCUGGGCGGAGCUGGGGGAGGAACAACAGGAGGGGGCAGGCGUUGCUAUGGGAACUGGGCUGAGGUCCUUGCAGCAACCUUGAUCUACGGGUUUCAGGCCUGGGCAGGGGCGCAGAUGCUGGAUGCAGGUCCCUGCAGGGCCCUCGGCUUCGCCUCCUCUUACCUCAGUUUCCCCAUCUCUGCAAUGGCAGCACUUGGGCCAUUGUCAAGUCACCAAAGCCACCUGCAGGCGGGCUCCAGAGACGUGCUUCCCUCUCAGACCCCACUCCAGCCCUGACAGGAUACUGAUGGCGCCCAGCCAGAGGCUGGAAUGCUUCCUGCGUGGGGAAAUGUUGGGUUAAAUAUUGGGAUAUAUUGGGUGGAUAUAUUGUGUUAAAUAAAAUAUAUGAUUCAAAUUAG